Molecule: long non-coding RNA, 423 nt
Organism: Bos taurus (domestic cattle)
Lineage: Eukaryota; Metazoa; Chordata; Mammalia; Artiodactyla; Bovidae
Source: Ensembl
GUUGAAGAUUCAGCCCCUGAUCCCGGAAGAUCUUGUAAGAAACAAGAAUUACCAGCAGGAAUGUGAAUGGAGAGUAACAUUCUGAGAAGAACAUUCUGGGUAGAGGAAUUGAAGUCCCACACAACUUAAUGGGGACACUGGCUGCCUUGGCUCUACCAGAUCUCCUGGAAGAGGUGACUUGUUCUAUCUGUUCACACAAUUUGAAGAAACCACUUGCCGUUGAAUGUGGACACAAGUCUUGCUGUGAUUGCCUCUUAUGAAAUUGGAAAGGAAUCUGAUUACAGCACCUGCUUUAAGUAUAAAGAAAUUUGCAAGGGAAGGGACUUCCCUGGAGGUCCAGUGGUUAAGACUCUGCCCUUCCAUUGUAGAGACACGGAUUUGAUCCCUGGUCAGGGAACUAAGAUCCUGCACACUGCAUGGCAU